AAUCCGUGUUGUGGGCACCUCCACAAAAGAUCCUUGAAGUGCUCCCAUGUCUCAAACAAUGACUCCAACUAUAUUUGUACAAACAACAAUAUCUCAUUGCAAAGCUU
Dioscorea cayenensis subsp. rotundata (Guinea yam) is the source of this 107-nucleotide small nucleolar RNA. The record is from RefSeq and is a predicted model, not a curated record. NCBI's taxonomy places the organism in Eukaryota, Viridiplantae, Streptophyta, Magnoliopsida, Dioscoreales, Dioscoreaceae.